RNA transcript from Pyrus x bretschneideri (Chinese white pear), 2075 nucleotides. RefSeq lists it as uncharacterized. The transcript has 3 exons. The record is from RefSeq and is a predicted model, not a curated record. NCBI's taxonomy places the organism in Eukaryota, Viridiplantae, Streptophyta, Magnoliopsida, Rosales, Rosaceae.
CUCUGCAACUCUCCUUCUCCCUCUCGACAAAACCGAGAACCACCAAAUUCCAGUUUUUUUAGUGAUUUCCAAGAAACGCAGUCUGCGAUGCCUGUUCCGUCCUGAUUUGAAGAAGAUUUCUCAAGCGACUGUAAUUUCACGUAUUAUUUUGAGGACGGAUAUGAUUUGGACAAGUUCAUCGAGCUGGUGCAACAGGCAGGCCUAUCUGUUUUUUGUUCUGUUUCUGAAACAGGGGAUUCCCAGUUCGGCUGAAAUAUAUCUCCGGAAUCGCUUUUCGAAGGACAGUGAGCCUUUCAAGGUGGGAUAUUAUAAAUCUUCCGUUUACUCCAAUUGCAAUUUAAUUUUUUUAAUAAAUAAUUUUUAAGCUAAAUUUAAUUUCUAAUUAUCUGUUACGAAGGCGGCAAUGCAAAAAUUUACAGAGAAGAUUAUCAGCAUGAUAAGAAUAACAACAUUCUCACAGGUAAUAAUUUACAGAUCCCCGAAAAAGACCCAUUUCUUGACAAUAUGUGCUUAUCAACAACUUUUAAACAUUUUAAAAGAAAUCAUACAAAGCUAAUUGUCAGAUUGCAAGAUAUUUUGAAAUACAUUACUGCAGUACAACCUUUGAAAAAAAAAAAAAAAAACUUUAACGAAAAGCUUCCGGUAAUGUUCUUUUUAACGAAAAAUUAUAUUUUUACACUAAAAAAUCAUAUUGAUACUAUUCACUUUACCCUUUAUUUGUUCUUAUCAUUAAAACUCAAAAUUUUCAGGCUUUUUUUUUGUUAAUUUUCUUAAAAAAAAAAAAUGGUUGCCAAUGAAAGAUUUGAGACCAAAAGUUAAAUUUGUAUUGCAAAAUAUGAGGUACAAAGUAUAAUACAGCAUUUAUAAAAGGAUGAUUACCCCUUCUUUUUUUUUACAUUUUUAAAGUUAAAUUUGUGUUAAAUGUAUUUGAAAACUGAAUGAAAAAAGUACCCAAUUUUUUAGCAAUUAAAAAAAAUACAGUUUUAUUCCAAUUUGUAAGCAAGGGAAAAAAAACUCUAAAGUUUCAAUGAAGAGAGAGUCAGAAGUUCUGAGUAUUUUAUACCAAAUAUUAUUUGGAAGUUUGUUAGAGUCCUAAUUUAUAUUAAAACGGUGAAAUUAUCAAAAAGACGGGUCAAAGAUCCACUUCCAACAACACAUUGUUAAUUACCAUGUGCACAACCCAUUAGGUUUAGGGUUUUAUCACAAAAGGUAUCCGUAUUAGUUUAAAACUGAUUAAGAUAUUUAAACUUUUCUUUUUUCAUAAAUACGAUCGAUGAAAGAUAUUUCAAGAAAAAUCAUAUUCUAAGUGCCUGAAAUGUUAAAAUAAUCUCUCUGUGCCUGCCCUGUAUGAGUCCAGUAUAAUAUAAUAAGAAAACGGAAAUUUUCGUAGCAGCAGUUUCCAGGAUAAGUAGUCCCCGGAUCUUUGUGUCUGUCCAUGAGCGUUACAAUUUCGAAAUGGAAAUUACGCCUAGGAAUUAUCUUAUUAUGAUGUUGAAAUAUCCAUAACUGCUUCCAAGACUUCGAUUGCGUUGCAAUUUUCUCACAGCAACUGUGCAGAUUCGAUUGUGUGUACAAACAUUUAAGAUGGUCUGUUGCAUUCUUUUGCUGGUGUGUCUGCAAAUUUCCCCAUUGACUCAACGGGCUCGCCACAACUAUCAAAGAAAAACUGCGGCUGGGACACGCUAAUCACGUCAUCUGCAACGCAUUUCUGAUAUUAUCUGUGUUGAUUCUCUCAACUUCACGCAAUUGUCCUAGUAGGGCAACUCUACCGACUCAUCUUUCGUUACUGGUAGACUCUCCACAACUGCCUUGCCACCGAAGAAUCCAGAACCGAGAGGGCUGUAUGGCACUAUCCCAAUUCCUAGUUCCCUAAUGUUCAACAAGGACAGCACAAUUCUUGUCAUACAUACAAAGGGGGGAAGCGAAUACAUGUAGCGUGUGAAAAGAUGGCAAAAAUAGAUGCUAACAUCUUCGUUCUAGGGCAAGUUAAUGCAGACAGAAAAAAUGUAAUGCACCAACAAGCUAAUAUGCUAGCCAUUAUGCACACAUUGUAUAUAUAACAUCGAAUUCAAACC